RNAcentral lists this ribosomal RNA (117 nucleotides) under Danio rerio (zebrafish). Lineage: Eukaryota; Metazoa; Chordata; Actinopteri; Cypriniformes; Danionidae. The record is from RNAcentral.
UGCCACAGCCAUAUCACCCUGCAGCCCAAGACCGGUUACUCACUGAAGCUAAGCAGGGCUGAGCCUGGUCAGUACCUGGAUGGGAGACCACCAGGGAACACUAGGUUGCUGUUGGAA